Molecule: ribosomal RNA, 73 nt
Filed under: Fusarium asiaticum
Lineage: Eukaryota; Fungi; Ascomycota; Sordariomycetes; Hypocreales; Nectriaceae
Description: partial 28S ribosomal RNA
Source: RNAcentral
UUGACCUCGGAUCAGGUAGGAAUACCCGCUGAACUUAAGCAUAUCAAUAAGCCGGAGGAAAGGGUUUAACUAU